AAACCCCGGGAAACUGGGGCUAAUCCCCGAUAGGCGAGGGGGCCUGGAAGGGUCCCUCGCCGAAAGGGACCUCAGGGGGUUAUCGCCUGGGGUCCGCCCGAGGAUGGGGCCACGGCCCAUCAUGGUAGUUGGCGGGGUAAUGGCCCGCCAAGCCGACGACGGGUAGGGGCCGUGGGAGCGGGAGCCCCCAGAUGGGCCCUGAGACAAGGGCCCAGGCCCUACGGGGCGCACCAGGCGCGAAACCUCCGCAAUGCGGGAAACCGUGACGGGGUCACCCCGAGUGCCCCCGUAAGGGGGCUUUUCCCCGCUGCAAGGAGGCGGGGGAAUAAGCGGGGGGCAAGUCUGGUGUCAGCCGCCGCGGUAAUACCAGCCCCGCGAGUGGUCGGGACUCUUGCUGGGCCUAAAGCGCUCGUAGCCGGCCCCGGUAAGUCCCCUCCUUAAAGCCCCGGGCUCAACCCGGGGAGCGGGGGGAUACUGCCGGGCUAGGGGGCGGGAGAGGCCCGGGGUACCCCAGGGGUAGGGGCGAAAUCCGAUAAUCCCCUGGGGGACCACCAGUGGCGAAGCGCCCGGCUGGGAACGCGCCCGACGGUGAGGGCGAAA
RNAcentral lists this ribosomal RNA (600 nucleotides) under uncultured archaeon. RNAcentral's name for it is "bacterial SSU rRNA". It matches the Rfam family "Archaeal small subunit ribosomal RNA", at positions 127 to 709 of the family's 1478-position model. The record is from RNAcentral.